Molecule: microRNA precursor, 96 nt
Organism: Nicotiana attenuata
Lineage: Eukaryota; Viridiplantae; Streptophyta; Magnoliopsida; Solanales; Solanaceae
Rfam family: MIR6152 microRNA precursor family
Source: Rfam
UGGACAGAUUGUUGUAUUCGACUGUAUUCACGGCGUGAUACAGGGGAUUACACUGUUUUUAAAUGGAAAGUGAAUCAAUUAACAUAAUAGACUCCU